Maniola jurtina (meadow brown) is the source of this 771-nucleotide long non-coding RNA. RefSeq lists it as uncharacterized. The record is from RefSeq and is a predicted model, not a curated record. NCBI's taxonomy places the organism in Eukaryota, Metazoa, Arthropoda, Insecta, Lepidoptera, Nymphalidae. The transcript has 2 exons.
UUUGAAUAAAAAUCUUUCUAUUCCUAUUUAAUUCAAUCUGCCGUUGAGAAAUAUUAUGUACCUACUUAGUUGAUCCCGUUCGCCUCGUUGAUCUACGAUAGGAGCGCGAGCGUAACGAAAUAUUAUAUACGAGUCUGGGUACGGUAUUAUGUCUUAUCAGAGUGACCCGAGUCCGGUUAACCGCAGUCUACGUAUAAAAUAAGCAACACAUCUUUAAAGACCCAGUCAUUAAAUAUAUGUGCUUUGUUAUGUUACAUAUCUGAAUUGUGUUUAUAUAUUUGCAAAGAAAAAAUCUGUUGACGUGAAACGUUUACAGAACCUUGAAAAUGAAUAUAUCAUUUGUUUUUAUGCUUUGCUUCCUCGCUCUGGUGACUUUAAGCGAAGCUAAGCCAAGGGGUGGCAGAAUGGGACGGUAUCGGUUUCCCUUUAGCGCAGAAAGUAAAGAAAGUGAAGAAGACUCCAAAGAAGAUGCGCCAUGCGACGGCUGUACAAUAAAUAACAUUGGAAACGGCUAUAAAAACCAUAACGAAGUUCACAUAUUAUAUGAGAGAGGCUUUCCCAAGUAGAAGAGAAAUCUUUAAACACACUAAUUAUUUAAUUGGAAAAAAAGCUUACCUGCAUAAUUUAUUAAGCUUUCUUACAGUAUCUAGUGAGGAACAAUGGUCGUCCAGGACUUGUGGUGUUUCAUUAAUUGUGCUGGUGUGUGCAAAUUUUAUCUUCCUAUUUGCAUGUGUGUUUGGAUGUAAUGUAAAUAAAUAGAUAUAAUCUUAA